GAUGAAGAACGUAGCGAAAUGCGAUAAGUAAUGUGAAUUGCAGAAUUCAGUGAAUCAUCGAAUCUUUGAACGCACAUUGCGCCCUCUGGUAUUCCGGGGGGCAUGCCUGUUCGAGCGUCAUUAUAAGCACUCAAGCUCUCGCUUGGUAUUGGGGUUCGCGGUUUCGCGGCCCCUAAAAUCAGUGGCGGUGCCUGUCGGCUCUACGCGUAGUAAUACUUCUCGCGAUUGAGUUCGAUAGGUCUACUUGCCAGUAACCCCCAAUUUUUACAGGUUGACCUCGGAUCAGGUAGGGAUACCCGCUGAACUUAAGCAUAUCAAUAAGCGGAGGA
Molecule: unclassified non-coding RNA, 329 nt
Filed under: soil metagenome
Description: partial contains 5.8S ribosomal RNA, internal transcribed spacer 2, and large subunit ribosomal RNA
Rfam family: 5.8S ribosomal RNA (bases 1-120)
Source: RNAcentral